UAAAACUUGUUUUCCUCUUUUAAUUUCUCAUUUUCAAGAGUUAGUUUUUCAAAAUCCUUUUCUUUUGAAGAAAUUUGUUUUCUUAAAUCUCUUUAUAGAUUUAGAAGCGCUAAUAAACUCUUUAUACAAUUCAUCAAAUGCAUCUUACAUUUCUUCUAAAGUGAAAUAGUUCUUAGAAGUAGUACAUACCUCAUUUUGAGUUUCUUCGUGUGCCAUAAGACACAAGUUU
RNAcentral lists this long non-coding RNA (229 nucleotides) under Nicotiana benthamiana. RNAcentral's name for it is "long non-coding RNA (NBEN_LNC022881)". Lineage: Eukaryota; Viridiplantae; Streptophyta; Magnoliopsida; Solanales; Solanaceae. The record is from RNAcentral.